UGUUUUAUUUUUUAACCCACAAUGACUGUAAAAAAAGAAAAGUUGUUGUUCUUAACAAGAAAACAGAAUUACAUCAAGACCAAGUGGAUUGUCUAUGAUAGUAUCCAUGGCAUCAGAAAAUUAUUUUUGUUAGAACUAACACUUAGAAAAAUGACUACUUGUCACUUUGAAUAGUCCAAGAGAAGAACCUCGAGGAUGGACAUUAACUCCCAGUAAUGUACAUAUUUGGAGGUCGACUGGUAAAGUGUGGUAAUGGCUGGCCAGUCCACCUCUCUCUACAGAUGAAACAUUUGGCCGGCCACGGGAGAGCGGACAACGCCUGCUGGGAGAGCGCAGUAAUCAUUCAUUAACCUCUGACCCGGAGAGGAGUGUCAA
Long non-coding RNA from Hippocampus comes (tiger tail seahorse), 375 nucleotides. RefSeq lists it as uncharacterized. The transcript is spliced from 3 exons. The record is from RefSeq and is a predicted model, not a curated record. Lineage: Eukaryota; Metazoa; Chordata; Actinopteri; Syngnathiformes; Syngnathidae.